UUCCGGUUGAUCCUGCCGGACCUGAUUGCUAUCGGAUUGAUACUAAGCCAUGCGAGUCAUUGUAGCAAUACAAGGCAGACGGCUCAGUAACGCGUAGUCAACCUAACCUAUGGACGGGAAUAACCUCGGGAAACUGAGAAUAAUGCCCGAUAGAACACUAUACCUGGAAUGGUUUGUGUUCCAAAUGAUUUAUCGCCGUAGGAUGGGACUGCGGCCUAUCAGUUUGUUGGUGAGGUAAUGGCCCACCAAGACUAUUACAGGUACGGGCUCUGAGAGGAGUAGCCCGGAGAUGGGUACUGAGACACGGACCCAGGCCCUAUGGGGCGCAGCAGGCGAGAAAACUUUGCAAUGUGCGAAAGCACGACAAGGUUAAUCCGAGUGAUUUGUGCUAAACGAAUCUUUUGUUAGUCCUAGAAACACUAACGAAUAAGGGGUGGGCAAGUUCUGGUGUCAGCCGCCGCGGUAAAACCAGCACCUCAAGUGGUCAGGAUGAUUAUUGGGCCUAAAGCAUCCGUAGCCGGCUCUGUAAGUUUUCGGUUAAAUCUGUACGCUUAACGUACAGGCUGCCGGGAAUACUGCAGAGCUAGGGAGUGGGAGAGGUAGACGGUACUCGGUAGGAAGGGGUAAAAUCCUUUGAUCUAUUGAUGACCACCUGUGGCGAAGGCGGUCUACCAGAACACGUCCGACGGUGAGGGAUGAAAGCUGGGGGAGCAAACCGGAUUAGAUACCCGGGUAGUCCCAGCUGUAAACUAUGCAAACUCAGUGAUGCAUUGGCUUGUGGCCAAUGCAGUGCUGCAGGGAAGCCGUUAAGUUUGCCGCCUGGGAAGUACGUACGCAAGUAUGAAACUUAAAGGAAUUGGCGGGGGAGCACCACAAGGGGUGAAGCCUGCGGUUCAAUUGGAGUCACGCCGGA
This 913-nucleotide ribosomal RNA is filed under the name uncultured archaeon. Its description in RNAcentral is "bacterial SSU rRNA". It matches the Rfam family "Archaeal small subunit ribosomal RNA", at positions 1 to 922 of the family's 1478-position model. The record is from RNAcentral.